This 253-nucleotide ribosomal RNA is filed under the name uncultured bacterium. RNAcentral describes it as "partial 16S ribosomal RNA". It matches the Rfam family "Bacterial small subunit ribosomal RNA", at positions 524 to 776 of the family's 1533-position model. The record is from RNAcentral.
UACGUAGGUGGCAAGCGUUGUCCGGAUUUACUGGGCGUAAAGGAUGCGUAGGUGGAAAUUUAAGUGGGAUGUGAAAUCCCCGGGCUCAACCCGGGAACUGCAUUCCAAACUGGAUUUCUAGAGUGCAGGAGAGGAAAGCGGAAUUCCUAGUGUAGCGGUGAAAUGCGUAGAUAUUAGGAAGAACACCGGUGGCGAAGGCGGCUUUCUGGACUGUAACUGGCACUGAGGCAUGAAAGCGUGGGGAGCAAACAGG